CGUGCGCGGGGCUGCGCGCCCAGCCGGGGCGGCGCCGCCAUCUGCUGGUCCGCGCCGAAACGCCGGGCGGGCUCCGGCACACAUGGACACGGACACGGGCAUCGCGCCCCGCGGGAGCCGCGGCGGGGACGGGUCUCCCGGCGGCGGCAGAACCCGCCGCUUGCGAAGUUUCACGCAGAGCUCCGGGGAGAGGCUUUCCGAGAGCGCCCGUACGAGAGUCUCGCAGCCCCUCGGGGCGGGUGCGCUGCAGGGCGAGCGCUCACCGCUGCCCCUUUGGACACGGGCGAUGGCCCCUGGUUUGGCCGUCCCUCCCAGGACGCUGCAGUGAAAAGAUCGGAAGGGGUCUGUGGUCAGCAGCGGGGAACCGAGGAACAAAUGAAGCAGGUGCAAAAACAGGAUUCAUGUGAUUAAGACAAGAAGCGCUUCCGUGGGGAAAAGGACCCUGUCCGUCCUUCUGCCCCUCAGCUCCUGGGAGGCACCAGGCUCGUCACACGCGUUGUCCGGAGCCAAUUGCUAAUCCAGUGUUGCCCACCGUGGGAACAUGUGGCUUGUAAUUUGGGAUUGAUCCAUAGCAGCAUCAGGAAAUGCUCACGGCAGAGGGGCAACGACUGGGGCUGUGCAGCGUAACUCAAAACUGACAGGUGAAGCAGUGGAAGAAGAUUUAGGCACCAUAGGGUACUCUUCCUGCUUCACUGCAGCGUGUCGUGUAACUGUGAAUAAAUUGGGACUUGUGAAGCAGUUUGCCUCAUAUGUGAAGAGGGCACAAGUUAGAAUCUCAGAAUAACUGAGGUUGGCAUGGACCUCUGGAGGACUCCUGGUCCAACCUGCUGCACAGUCCAGGGCAAACUCCAAAACUGAAUCUAAAUUCACAGUAAAAUAAAGUUGCUGAGACCUAAGUGUCAGAAAAACAAGUUUGAAAGACCACUGAGGAAAGUACUGACUCCAGGUACAGGCACCUAACAGAAGAGAUCCAAGCUGGGUAAAACCAAGUGAAAAAUACAGAGAAGGUGUUACCAGGAGUAAGAAGGAAGAAAGUGAAAAAGCAAGAGACCAUGCCUAGUCUCAGUCUGGCCAACCACCAUAUAAGUGAACACGACGCUGCAGUGGAAGGGAUUUCCUGCAGAAUGGAGUGAGUAACAGUGAAUAAAAUGAUACAAUUAAAUUAAAUGCAGCAAGCUUCGGCAAGCACAGUUCCUGAUCCUGCAAGAUGCCAAGUACUCUCAAGUCAAGAUAAGGUACUUAGAGCUCUACUCUGAACGAAACAAGCAUAAAAGACUAAGUACAGAACUCAUGAAUAUGGAACAGGCACCAAAGAAGAGCAUCUCUUGCCUUACCUACAGGACUUCUACUGAAUCACUGAAAUGGUCCAUUACCCAGGUCAUCACUGCAAUAUCAAUUUCCAUUUUUGACUCCCACAGCCCUGUGAAAAUCAAUGACUACACCAUUGGUGCAUAUUGGCUUUCAUGUACUUUGACGCUCCCGUUUCCCAAAACUGCUGAAGCCAGUAAUUGAUAUUACAGUAUGUUCUUUACAGGUUGCUUAAUAACAAAAUAUGUUUUUAAUGAGCCCAGUCAUACCCCAUUGUUUUAUUUAUUUUUUCAUAAAGCUACUUAAUGGUAAGGAAGUGACAGAGGAUAACUCCAUGGGCCACAUUCAAAGCAAUGCCUGUUUUCCCUAUUAGUUAAUCAGUCAGUGGAAGACAGAGGAAUUGCAAGCCAACACAUGGAGUGGUUGGUUAGCAACAGCACCUGGUUACCAGCACACCACUAUGCUAUUGUGUGUCAAAGCUUAGAACAGUACUCAUGUCUAACUGCAUAGGGAAAUUAAAUGUAUUGGACUCCUUUAGAAUCAAUUCAGAAGUCCUAAAACCAUCAAAAAUCUUGAGUCUUCUGACAAGUUUCACUGAAACUAGUUACACUACUUGUAAAAACACAGGAGUAAGGAGUUACCCUUGUAGAGUGGGCAUAUGUCAAGGGCACUAAGGUUAGUGUCUGUUCUCAAAUCCCAUUUUUAUCAAUACAAAUUUCAAUCAACUGAAGGACAGGCAUGUUGUCCUGGGUUUAGCUAGGGUAGAGUUAAUUACUUCUCAAUAGUUGUUACAGUGCAGUGUUUUGGAUUUGGAAUGAGAUUGGGGUUGAAAACACACUGAUGUUUUUGGUUUUUUGCUAAGUCAUGCUUAUCCUCAGUCAAGGACUUUUUCCUUGUCUCAUGCUCUGCCAGUGAGAAGAUAUAUAAAAGAAACUGGGAGGGAGCACAGCUGGGACAGGUGACCCGAACUGACCAAAGGGAUAGUCCACACCUUAGAAUGUCAUGCCUGGUAUAUAAACUGGGGGCACUUACCCAGAAGCAUGGCUGAUCUGGGUUUGGGAAGGGAGAUCUGACAUUGGUCAGUGGGUGGUGAGCAAUUCCAUUGUGCAUCUCUUGCUUUUCCCUUUUUAUUCUAAUUAUUAUCAUUAUCAUUUGCCAUUAUUACUGUAUUUUACUUUAUUUUCAAUUAUUAAACCGCUUUUAUCUGAA
This is a long non-coding RNA of Pseudopipra pipra, 2517 nucleotides long. RefSeq lists it as uncharacterized. Lineage: Eukaryota; Metazoa; Chordata; Aves; Passeriformes; Pipridae. The record is from RefSeq and is a predicted model, not a curated record. The transcript is spliced from 3 exons.